AACGAACGCUGGCGGCAGGCCUAACACAUGCAAGUCGAACGCCCCGCAAGGGGAGUGGCAGACGGGUGAGUAACGCGUGGGAACCUACCUAGUGGUACGGAACAACUCGGGGAAACUUGAGCUAAUACCGUAUACGCCCUCCGGGGGAAAGAUUUAUCGCCAUUAGAUGGGCCCGCGUCGGAUUAGCUAGUUGGUGAGGUAAUGGCUCACCAAGGCUUCGAUCCGUAGCUGGUCUGAGAGGAUGAUCAGCCACACUGGGACUGAGACACGGCCCAGACUCCUACGGGAGGCAGCAGUGAGGAAUAUUGGACAAUGGGCGCAAGCCUGAUCCAGCCAUGCCGCGUGAGUGAAGAAGGCCUUAGGGUUGUAAAGCUCUUUUACCCGGGAUGAUAAUGACAGUACCGGGAGAAUAAGCUCCGGCUAACUCCGUGCCAGCCGCCGCAGUAA
This 447-nucleotide ribosomal RNA is filed under the name uncultured bacterium. RNAcentral describes it as "partial 16S ribosomal RNA". It matches the Rfam family "Bacterial small subunit ribosomal RNA", at positions 29 to 523 of the family's 1533-position model. The record is from RNAcentral.